This 268-nucleotide ribosomal RNA is filed under the name uncultured bacterium. RNAcentral describes it as "partial 16S ribosomal RNA". It matches the Rfam family "Bacterial small subunit ribosomal RNA", at positions 87 to 354 of the family's 1533-position model. The record is from RNAcentral.
CCCGGCGACCGGCGCACGGUGAGUAACACGUAUGCAACCUGGCCGCCACAGGGGGAUAACCCGCGGAAACGCGGCCUAAUACCCCGUGACGCCACCGGAGGGCAUCCUCCGGUGGCCAAAGGAGCGAUCCGGUGGCGGAUGGGCAUGCGGCGCAUUAGCUAGACGGCGGGGUGACGGCCCACCGUGGCGACGAUGCGUAGGGGUUCUGAGAGGAAGGCCCCCCACACUGGGACUGAGACACGGCCCAGACUCCUACGGGAGGCAGCAG